RNAcentral lists this unclassified non-coding RNA (2095 nucleotides) under Hevea brasiliensis (rubber tree). The record is from RNAcentral. Lineage: Eukaryota; Viridiplantae; Streptophyta; Magnoliopsida; Malpighiales; Euphorbiaceae.
GUUUCUCGUUUCCCGCCAUGGAAGCAAUGGAAAUCGACGCAGAGAAAAAUCUUCAGAGAAAGCAAUCGACCUAUCUCUCCUUGGAUGAGACGUUUGAGAUUCAGAAAGAAACAUACAGAGGCCAGCAAUACAGCCAAAUUUACUUUGCUCGUCUCCACUUGAUGAGAACUCUGCUCUAUUCUCUUGUUCCGCAUUGGAAAUCCCAUUUAAAAGUUUGUACAGUUUUGGGAUUGGAAGAAGAGAAGGAAUGCAUCAUUGUUGGAACUCUGUAUAAGCACAUGAAGCUUAAACCCUGCAUUCUUGAUGAGUACUCUAAGGAGAGAUCUGCAGUGCCACUGGUCAAGCCUCACAAUUUUUUGCACCUGGAUGAUCAUUUGGUAUUGGAAGAUGAGAGUGGAAGAGUUAAGCUUGGAGGAGACAUGCUUUCACCUUCUUCAUAUGUCACAGGUGUUGUUGUUGCUUUGCAUGGAAAAGAAACUGGUUCUGGUGACUUCUUGGUUCUUGAUGUCCUUGAAGCUGGCCUGCCACCACAGAUAGAGCUGCCACUUCAGUCAAGAGAAGACAAGUAUGUUGUUUUCGUUUCUGGGUUGAAUGUUGGGAGCAGCACAUCUAACCCCCUUCAAUUUCAGCUUCUUGUUGAUCAUAUAACAGGACAUCUGGGAGAUGAGAAGGAACAAGGUAUUGCAUCACAGAUAGUUCAUGUCGUGAUUGCAGGAAAUUCAGUUGAAAUUCCCAGUGGACUUCUUAAUGGACAGAAUUUGGCGUCAAAGGAUCAAUCAAGACUAUCUGAGCCAGUCAAAGAGCUUGAUAUAUUGUUGUCUCAGAUUGCUGCAGGUGUGCCUUUGGAUAUCAUGCCUGGACCCAAUGACCCAGCAAAUUUUUCCUUACCUCAGCAGCCUCUGCACAGAUGCCUUUUCCCAGGAUCAGCAGCUUAUAACACUUUUAGGUCUUGUACUAAUCCUCAUUGCUUUGAGCUUGAUAACAUCAGAUUUCUUGGAACGUCGGGUCAGAAUAUUGAUGAUCUGGAGAAGUAUUCAGAGGCAAAGGAUAAGCUUGAAUUUAUGGAAAGGACAUUAAAGUGGAGGCAUCUGGCACCAACAGCACCUAAUACUCUCGGUAGAAAUAAUAUAUCAUUCUAUAAAUUUGUUCUAUUAUUCUUUUACUCAUCUAAUUUGCUUGGUUAUUUAUUUUCUAUUUUGUUAGGUUAUCUUGGUUCCUUGAAAUAUUAGAUAACACAAUAUGCAUAAAUAAAUAUCUGUGAUCAAAUAUGAUUUCUUUUUGAGCUCAUCUUCAAUGAUCCACUGCCAUCUAUGACUUUCAGGGUGUUAUCCUUUCACCGAUAGGGAUCCUUUCCUGAUUGAGAGCUGUCCUCAUGUAUAUUUUGUUGGUAAUCAGGAUAAAUAUGGAACUCGUGAGUUAAGGGGUAUGGACUUCUUGUUGACUGACAACUAUUCGAUGAAACCUUUCUUAGAAGUUAUCGGGAAAAAUCUAGUUUGUUUAUUUUAUUUCAGAUAAAAGCCAGUUUACUGAUAGUCUAAAAUGCAGGUUCAGAAGGCCAGUUGGUAAGACUCCUUUCCAUUCCAAAAUUCUGUGAGACUGGAGUUGCUGUCAUGCUUAACAUGAAAAGUCUUGAAUGCCACACUCUUAGUUUUGGGACUCAAUUUGGCUCAUAAGGACAUGGUAAUGGCUAUCUGAUGGCUUCCUCCUGGUUGAUAGUCUCUAGCUUGGAGAAAAUUUGCAAAUUUAAGCUUUGAGAAUUUUGGUGAGCCUUCUGGUGAGUUGCAGUUCUUAAGAAGCUUGCAUUUGACAGCAAGGAAACUGGAAAUCUGUGAAAGUUCCCCAAAAGAGAUUUUCUAAGUGUACCAACUAGACUAACUUUAUUUGGUCAAUUUCGCCAUUAAUGUAAUACUAACAUUUAUGAGAUGUGUCAGUUGGGAACAUACAGCCAAAGGUUUUUGUUUAUUUAUUUUCUUAUCAUUUGGCUGUUGCAGUGUGGCGGUUCAGUUCUCUAAUUCAUGAGUCUCUUCCUCCGUGAAAUGAGCUCUGGCCUGAGAUUUGAUACAUUUAUUUAUUCCCAUAAACAUUUAUAAUUCUG